AAGUUUGAUCGUGGCUCAGGACGAACGCUGGCGGCGUGCUUAACACAUGCAAGUGGUGCGACGAACCAGGGCUUGCCCUGGGCAAAGCCGCGAACGGGUGAGUAACACGUGGGUAACCUGCCCCGAUGACUGGGACAACCCGAGGAAACUCGGGCUAAUACCGGAUGACGUGCCGAGCUUUAAGGCUCUGUACUAAAGGAAGCUUCGGCCUCCGCAUUGGGAGGGGCCCGCGGCCCAUUAGCUUGUUGGUGAGGUAACGGCUCACCAAGGCAACGAUGGGUAGCUGGUCUGAGAGGACGAUCAGCCACACUGGGACUGAGACACGGCCCAGACUCCUACGGGAGGCAGCAGUGGGGAAUCUUGCGCAAUGCGCGAAAGCGUGACGCAGCAACGCCGCGUGGGGGAA
This 406-nucleotide ribosomal RNA is filed under the name uncultured bacterium. RNAcentral's name for it is "bacterial SSU rRNA". It matches the Rfam family "Bacterial small subunit ribosomal RNA", at positions 9 to 409 of the family's 1533-position model. The record is from RNAcentral.